UACGUAGGGGGCAAGCGUUGUCCGGAUUUAUUGGGCGUAAAGAGCGUGUAGGCGGCUGGGUAGGUCCGUUGUGAAAACUCGAGGCUCAACCUCGAGACGCCGAUGGAAACCCUCCAGCUAGAGUCCGGAAGAGGAGAAUGGAAUUCCCGGUGUAGCGGUGAAAUGCGCAGAUAUCGGGAAGAACACCCGUGGCGAAGGCGGUUCUCUGGGACGGUACUGACGCUGAGACGCGAAAGCGUGGGGAGCGAACAGG
RNAcentral lists this ribosomal RNA (253 nucleotides) under uncultured bacterium. RNAcentral's name for it is "partial 16S ribosomal RNA". It matches the Rfam family "Bacterial small subunit ribosomal RNA", at positions 524 to 776 of the family's 1533-position model. The record is from RNAcentral.